AACGAACGCUGGCGGCAUGCCUAACACAUGCAAGUCGAACGAGACCUUCGGGUCUAGUGGCGCACGGGUGCGUAACGCGUGGGAACCUGCCCUUAGGUUCGGAAUAACUCCCCGAAAGGGGUGCUCAUACCGGAUAAUGUCUUCGGACCAAAGAUUUAUCGCCUUUGGAUGGGCCCGCGUUGGAUUCGCUAGUUGGUAGGGUAAAAGCCUACCAAGGCGACGAUCCAUAGCUGGUCUGAGAGGAUGAUCAGCCACACUGGGACUGAGACACGGCCCAGACUCGUACGGGAGGCAGCAGUGGGGAAUAUUGGACAAGGGGCGAAAGUCUGAUCCAGCAAUGCCGCGGGAGUGAUGAAGGCCUUAGGGUUGUAAAGCUCUUUUACCCGGGAUGAUAAUGACAGUACCGGGAGAAUAAGCACCGGCUAACUCCGUG
RNAcentral lists this ribosomal RNA (433 nucleotides) under uncultured bacterium. RNAcentral's name for it is "partial 16S ribosomal RNA". It matches the Rfam family "Bacterial small subunit ribosomal RNA", at positions 29 to 507 of the family's 1533-position model. The record is from RNAcentral.